ACGAACGCUGGCGGCGUGCUUCACACAUGCAAGUCGAACGGAAAGGCCCUGCUUUUGUGGGGUGCUCGAGUGGCGAACGGGUGAGUAACACGUGAGUAACCUGCCCUUGACUUUGGGAUAACUUCAGGAAACUGGGGCUAAUACCGGAUAGGAGCUCCUGCUGCAUGGUGGGGGUUGGAAAGUUUCGGCGGUUGGGGAUGGACUCGCGGCUUAUCAGCUUGUUGGUGGGGUAGUGGCUUACCAAGGCUUUGACGGGUAGCCGGCCUGAGAGGGUGACCGGCCACAUUGGGACUGAGAUACGGCCCAGACUCCUACGGGAGGCGGCAGUGGGGAAUAUUGCACAAUGGGCGGAAGCCUGAUGCAGCAACGCCGCGUGCGGGAUGACGGCCUUCGGGUUGUAAACCGCUUUCGCCUGUGACGAAGCGUGAGUGACGGUAAUGGGUAAAGAAGCACCGGCUAACUACGUG
This 467-nucleotide ribosomal RNA is filed under the name uncultured bacterium. RNAcentral describes it as "partial 16S ribosomal RNA". It matches the Rfam family "Bacterial small subunit ribosomal RNA", at positions 29 to 507 of the family's 1533-position model. The record is from RNAcentral.